Molecule: transfer RNA, 66 nt
Filed under: Modiolus kurilensis
Lineage: Eukaryota; Metazoa; Mollusca; Bivalvia; Mytilida; Modiolidae
Description: tRNA-Glu
Source: RNAcentral
GUUUAUGUGGUGUAUGUAAGCACAUAAGGUUUUCGUCCUUAAGGAGAGAGGUUCUUUCCAUAAACU